RNAcentral lists this ribosomal RNA (253 nucleotides) under uncultured bacterium. RNAcentral's name for it is "partial 16S ribosomal RNA". It matches the Rfam family "Bacterial small subunit ribosomal RNA", at positions 524 to 776 of the family's 1533-position model. The record is from RNAcentral.
UACGGAGGGUGCAAGCGUUAUCCGGAUUUACUGGGUUUAAAGGGUGUGUAGGCGGACUUUUAAGUCAGCGGUGAAAUCUCCGGGCUCAACCCGGAAACUGCCAUUGAUACUAUUGGUCUUGAACAUUGUGGAGGUGGGCGGAACGGGUCAUGUAGCGGUGAAAUGCUUAGAGAUGACCCGGAACACCGAUUGCGAAGGCAGCCCACUACGCAAUGAUUGACGCUGAGGCACGAAAGCGUGGGGAUCAAACAGG